This 126-nucleotide small RNA is filed under the name Marmota monax (woodchuck). Lineage: Eukaryota; Metazoa; Chordata; Mammalia; Rodentia; Sciuridae. The record is from RNAcentral.
GCCAGGUGUGGUGGUGAACACCUGUAAUCCCAGCAGCUUGGAAGGCUGAGGCAAGAUGAUUGUGAGUUCAAAGCCAGCCUCAGCAACUUAGAAAGGCCUAAUCAACUCAGCAAGACCCUGUCUCUA